UGCGCUAUCAGAUGAGCCUAGGUCGGAUUAGCUAGUUGGUGGGGUAAUGGCUCACCAAGGCGACGAUCCGUAACUGGUCUGAGAGGAUGAUCAGUCACACCGGAACUGAGACACGGUCCGGACUCCUACGGGAGGCAGCAGUGGGGAAUAUUGGACAAUGGGCGCAAGCCUGAUCCAGCAAUGCCGCGUGGGUGAAGAAGG
Molecule: ribosomal RNA, 201 nt
Filed under: Pelagococcus subviridis
Lineage: Eukaryota; Pelagophyceae; Pelagomonadales; Pelagomonadaceae
Description: partial Bacterial small subunit ribosomal RNA
Rfam family: Bacterial small subunit ribosomal RNA
Source: RNAcentral